AAGGGGCAGGACUUAUAUCCGGGAUUGUGGGGUGAGUUGCAGCAGCGGCAGCUGCACAUGUGGGUUUGUUUAUAAGAACAAGGUUAGAAACUCGCAGGCCUCCCCCUCCCCCCAGCUCCUCCCCACUACCCCUUUACAGGCCGGAGAUCGGCUCCUGGGCGGUGGGGAGCAAUGGUGUGCUUGUGCCGGGUGGGGGGGACAGGCAGUGGUGAGGAAGAUGGAGAGGGGGAUUGCACCUCCCGGCCCGCGCCGGAGGAAGCGACAGCUGGAACAGCUGGCUGGGGAGCGGCUUGCAUGCCUGCGGUGCUUCCCCUUCCCUUCCCCCACCGCCCGCCGCCCGGCGAGCAGCGAAGUUUGGCGGUAGCGAGCGGUCGAGCCGGGGGCCCGGGCGCGGAGCAUGCAGGCCGGGCGGGCGCGGGGAGCGCGGGGGUGAGCGGGAG
This 440-nucleotide long non-coding RNA is filed under the name Heterocephalus glaber (naked mole-rat). Its description in RNAcentral is "lncRNA (ENSHGLG00100033703.1)". Lineage: Eukaryota; Metazoa; Chordata; Mammalia; Rodentia; Bathyergidae. The record is from RNAcentral.